This is a long non-coding RNA of Cyprinus carpio (common carp), 1563 nucleotides long. The record is from Ensembl. NCBI's taxonomy places the organism in Eukaryota, Metazoa, Chordata, Actinopteri, Cypriniformes, Cyprinidae.
CAUGGUUCAGUUUUGUCAUUUACCAUUUUAAAUGCCCAAUCUAUUGAAUCCAAGUUCUCUGGAUUCUGUCUGUCUGUUUUUAGCAUUCAUCAACUAGGGAAAAUAAAAUAAAAAAAAAAAAAUCUUAAAGUGAUACCAAUGAUAUCGUUCCUCUAUCUUUAUCGUUGUGCUGUGGACUUCUGGACUUCUCGACUCUCAUACAAUUAAAACAAUUAUUCUCAAAACUUCUGUCAUAUCUUUAAUCAGGCUUUUGACUGACAACCACAAAGUGUCUAUAAUUACAAAUUAAAACAUGAAAAAGCCAAACUAAAACAUAACAAAUCCCAAAAUGGCAGAUCCACAAUUUUAUGAUCAUUUUUAUUGGAUUUUUUGUCAGAUAUUUAAUUCUGGACAAUUGAGUAAGCGGAAACCAUUAAACCAUUAAACUAGAAUUAGAGCAACAAUCAGGGCCGUGCACAGACCUUUUGAGGGGCAUGUGCUGAAACUGAAAAAGGGCACCCCCCUCCCUUUUUUUAUAUCAAGAUUAUUUAGCCAUACUGUUACUAUAACAUAUCCAACAUGUAUCCGCCUACCUGGCAAAAAUUUGAUACUGUGGUGGACCAGGGAUGUUGGUCUCUUGAAGGUUUCUUAUUCACUACACUUUCCCUAAAAUAAGCCAGCAAUGAAAAAAUAAAUAAAAAUAGUGUGAAAAGUACAGUUGCAGUGAAAAGCAUUUCUGAAGGAUCACGUGACACUGAAGAGUACUGAACUGGAGUAAUGAUGCUGAAAAUUCAGCUUUGAUCACAAAAAUAAAUUACAUUUUAAAAUAUAUUCAAAUAGAAAACAGUUAUUUAAAAUUGUAAAAAUAUUACACAAUAUUACUGUUUUUGCUGUAUUUUGGAUCAAAUAAAUGAAGCCUUGGAAUGAAUCAUGAAUUACAUUCUGCAUGAUAAAAUAUAAAGAUUUCACAGUGAUCUUCUGUAAACCAUGUUUUACUACAUUUUAUACAUGUGAGGACGAGCGGAGAGUAUACCAUAACAUGAUUAGCCUAAAUGUUAAUAAAUUAAGUGUAUCAGCAAUCAUAAAUCAAAGAAGAAAUUUCUUAUAUAUGUUAUCUAGGUGACGAGGAUCACUCGUCGCUUUGUGUAAGUUCCAGUACGAAACAGCGCGGGGGCGCACCUGUUAUGAUUUUCCGAUGGUAAAAACAAAUUAUAUGUUGUUGUAUUACUUAUCAAUAUAUAGUUUUUGACCAGCGAAUGUGUGCAAAUGUGAAUUUUGUUUUUUUGUCCGUCAUUAAAACGGCGACGGCGCCUCACAUUACAUUUUCAUCUACAGGUUACAAACUAGUUUUUGUAGCUAUAUAGACGGAGCGCUCAGUUUUUCCUGUGGUAAAAUGCAUUUGGCCAAAAUCGCAUUUUAUAAAAGAUGAAAUGCUACUGUAUGCACAGGCUAUUUAAGUGUUGGCUAUGUAUUGGCUAUGACUAGAUGGCAAAUGCUAGCCCUCUCUCUCAGGCGACGUCCCACAUGUCUCAGUCAGUGAGUCAGUCAGACAUCAAAUAAAUAAAAUAUGAGCCUUUAUAGACA